This 643-nucleotide ribosomal RNA is filed under the name uncultured bacterium. RNAcentral describes it as "bacterial SSU rRNA". The stretch from base 1 to 539 matches the Rfam family "Bacterial small subunit ribosomal RNA", at positions 338 to 873 of the family's 1533-position model. The record is from RNAcentral.
CCUACGGGAGGCAGCAGUAAGGAAUAUUGGACAAUGGGGCGCAAGCCUGAUCCAGCCAUGCCGCGUGAAGGAUUAAGGUCCUCUGGAUUGUAAACUUCUUUUAUAAGGGACGAAAAAAGGGCAUUCUUGCUCACUUGACGGUACCUUAUGAAUAAGCACCGGCUAACUCCGUGCCAGCAGCCGCGGUAAUACGGAGGGUGCAAGCGUUAUCCGGAUUCACUGGGUUUAAAGGGUGCGUAGGCGGGCAGGUAAGUCAGUGGUGAAAUCCUAGAGCUCAACUCUAGAACUGCCAUUGAUACUAUCUGUCUUGAAUAUUGUGGAGGUAAGCGGAAUAUGUCAUGUAGCGGUGAAAUGCUUAGAUAUGACAUAGAACACCUAUUGCGAAGGCAGCUUACUACGCAUAUAUUGACGCUGAGGCACGAAAGCGUGGGGAUCAAACAGGAUUAGAUACCCUGGUAGUCCACGCCCUAAACGAUGGAUACUCGACAUACGCGAUACACUGUGUGUGUGUGAGCGAAGACGUAAGUUAAGUAGUUACCGUUACCGUACGGUUAAGGUUAACGUACCGACCGAGGAGAGAACGUUAAAGGUUAAGUUAGACGGACGNGAGACGNGGACCGACGGACGACGACGAGGGAGGAGG